This is a long non-coding RNA of Apteryx owenii (little spotted kiwi), 1635 nucleotides long. The record is from Ensembl. NCBI's taxonomy places the organism in Eukaryota, Metazoa, Chordata, Aves, Apterygiformes, Apterygidae.
GCACCUGCCGGCCGCUCUUCGCCGUGAGCUAUUUGGGGCCCGGCCAUGUGAUUUCCUCGCCGCCCGCGAGAGUGCCGCAAAAACAGGAUGCGCCGUGGCGGGCUGCGAGCGCCGAUAGGGACUCUCUCCGGGCGGAAGAGCGGGGCGCUGGCCACAUCCCUGCCCUGGCGUGGGUGCUGCCACCCUGGGAGCUCCCCGUGGUGCCCCGAGCGGUGUCAGGCUCCAUCCCGGGGCAGAACGGCACCUUGCACCCAAGCCAAGGCGAAUGCGGGGCAGUUGUGGCGCUUUGGGGUGUGGGAGCGGCCAGGAAGCGCGGGGCAGGUCCCAGCUCCCGUGGCGAGGUCCCAGCACCCACAGCAGCAUCACUGCACCCUUGACGAGGUCCCAGCACCCACACUGGGAUCCCAGCACCCACAGGAGCAUCACUGCACCCUUGAUGAGGUCCCAGCACCCACAGGAGCAUCGCUGCACCCUUGAUGAGGUCCCAGCAUCCACAGUGUGGUCCCAGCACCCACAGGAGCAUCACUGCACCCUUGACAAGGUCCCAGCACCCACAGUGAGGUCCCAGCACCCACAGGAGCAUCACUGCACCCUUGACGAGGUCCCAGCACCCACAGUGAGGUCCUGGCACCCACAGCAGGGUCUCAGGACCCACAGGAGCAUCCCAGCACCUUGGUCAAGGUGCCAACACCCACAGCAAGGUGCCAACAUCCCCAGUGGGGUCCUGUCACCGCAGUGAGGUCCCAGAACCUUCAGCUGGGUCCCAGCACCCACGUUCUUGGGGAAGGAGCGUGCAAAGGCUGGAGGAGGAGCGCGGCUGGGAAAUACUCCUUCAGCAGGAGAAGAAAGCAGCCCCGGCUCCUUGCUGGUGGAAAACACCACGUGCUGACAUGAACCGCUCCCGAUUAAUGUUUCCAAAAGGCAAGCUGAACCUUGGAUGAGGAAUUUGCUGGCUGCAGCAGGACCGAUGCCAGGAGCUCUACCUCUGAGCUUGAAAAAGUAAAAUCUCUAGCAAACCCAGGCCAAGGUGGGCUGUAAGGACAGCGCAGGGCCAUGGCUCUCCCCAUGCUCGGGCAUCCUGGGCAGCCCAGAAAAUGUUCCAUUAAAUUCCUUUGCAUCCUGCUGAACCUGCCCCAUUGCGACUGGGGCAAUUAAAGUGUUUUGGCAAGGGAUAAACCCUGAUUUGCCCCUGUUAUCAAGCUGGGACAAAGCGGCAUUAUUUCCACCUGCUGGCAGCAACUCCCACUACAACGGCGAGGCCGACGGCGCGGCGCUGUGCAAACACGGCUCCCCGCCGGCCAGCUGCCCCAGCCCCGACAGCCGGGCAUUUCGGGAUCAGCCAAGACCAGGGGCCAGGACAGUUGGGCGUUCACAGGACAUUAAACGAUGCCGCUGUUUAAGGGCAGCCCUGUCCAUCCUGGUGGGUGCGGGUAGCUCCGGGUUGGUGUUUGCUCAUCCCAAGCCGCUGGUGGUAUUUAAAGCCGUGGGCAGAGCCCACCAGGCUGCUGCUCUGCCUGCGCCACCAGCUGUGGGUGCCRGGUCCGGCCUCGAGAGCCUCCGCGCCGGUGAGUUGGGCCCAGGGCAAACAGCGUCUGCAGCCCCAUGGGGGGGUCGGGUUGGGGCAGGUCCCGGGGC